GAACGGCCGUCCGGGAAUACACUUUUCGCCAGUGCACAGUGCGUAACAGCACGGUCCAUCGAUAGUACAUCUGAUAAUAAUAAACGUAACGGAAUUGUAAUAAUAAUAAUAUUAUUAUCGUUCAUACACACACACGCGCGCGCAUCCGAUUCGGCACGAAUCUACACCCGUAAUAAUAAUAUUAUUUAUUAUCAUGGUAUCGUGUCCGGUAUUGUCGUCGUGCGUACGGUAUCACGUAUGCUAUUAUGAAAAUAUAAUAUAAACAGUAAAUUACUGCGAAAAUAAUAAUCCGAUAAUAAUAUUAUUACUAUUACCUAUUAUUAAUAUACUGAUAACGUGCGUUAACAGCCGCCGUCGAUGGUGUCCGCGACACCGAAAGCGUU
Non-coding RNA from Cinara cedri, 383 nucleotides. The record is from the annotation of a GenBank genome assembly. NCBI's taxonomy places the organism in Eukaryota, Metazoa, Arthropoda, Insecta, Hemiptera, Aphididae.